UCGGCAUUAUAUAUCCUUUAUUAUUUAAUUGCUUUUGCACUCAAUGAACACAGGUAGCAAUAUUUGCAUGUUAGCUUAUUUCAAACUAGACAUUAACGUUACUACAUUUAUACAUAAGAUGUGGACAGUAUAUUAAAACAGAUUUUAUCGGCAACAGAUUAAAGAGUACUCAAGGCUCGUUAAAUUUUAUUGGCUUGAAUUCUUGGAUUAAGUUUAAAUAUGAGAAGCACAUUGAUUGUCUUCUACUUCUCCACGAUGUCAUUAAAAACAUUGACAAAUAACAACAACCUCAAAUUUUGUUCUUACAACUGCACCAGCCAACAGGAUGUUAUAGCUGAAUGUAUCCCUAAUACGCAAAAUAGGAAUUAUACCAGCCAGCUUGGUACUUGUGGGGCGGAAGGACGAAAAAUUCACUUAUUUAUUUGACAAUUUUUAAAAUAUAAUUGAAUUCGAAACAACAUUACUAGAUAGUGUGAAAAAAUUCCUUUUAAACGAAACAACUUUUAUUCUGCUAGCAACUCAGCUCACACACAGAAAAACGAAAUGUACGUAGAUGAAAUGAGAUUUUUUAUACCAAGAA
Long non-coding RNA from Xenia sp. Carnegie-2017, 580 nucleotides. RefSeq lists it as uncharacterized. The transcript is spliced from 2 exons. The record is from RefSeq and is a predicted model, not a curated record. Lineage: Eukaryota; Metazoa; Cnidaria; Anthozoa; Malacalcyonacea; Xeniidae.